RNAcentral lists this ribosomal RNA (1251 nucleotides) under metagenome. RNAcentral's name for it is "bacterial LSU rRNA". It matches the Rfam family "Bacterial large subunit ribosomal RNA", at positions 1673 to 2925 of the family's 2925-position model. The record is from RNAcentral.
UGAGAAUACUAAGGCGAUCGGGAGAAUCGUGGUGAAGGAACUCGGCAAAAUACCCCCGUAACUUCGGAAUAAGGGGGACCGGAGGGGUGCAUAGCCCUGAAGGUCGCAGAGACCACGCCCAAGCGACUGUUUACCAAAAACACAGGUCCGUGCCAAGUUGAAAGACGAUGUAUACGGACUGACUCCUCCCCGGUGCUGGAAGGUUAAGGGGAAGUGUCAGCGCAAGCGAAGCACUGAACUUAAGCCCCAGUAAACGGCGGUGGUAACUAUAACCAUCCUAAGGUAGCGAAAUUCCUUGUCGGGUAAGUUCCGACCUGCACGAAUGGAGUAACGAUUUGGGCACUGUCUCCACCACGAACUCGGCGAAAUUGCAUUACGAGUAAAGAUGCUCGUUACGCGCAGCAGGACGGAAAGACCCCGGGACCUUUACUAUAGUUUGGUAUUGGUGAUCGGGACGACUUGUGUAGGAUAGGUGGGAGACUUUGAAGCUUGGACGCCAGUUCAGGUGGAGUCAACGUUGAAAUACCACUCUGGUCGUUCUGGUUAUCUAACCUAGGUCCAUUAUCUGGAUCAGGGACAGUGCCUGAUGGGUAGUUUGACUGGGGCGGUCGCCUCCCAAAAGGUAACGGAGGCGCCCGAAGGUUCCCUCAGCCUGGUUGGCAAUCAGGUGUUGAGUGUAAAUGCACAAGGGAGCUUGACUGUGAGACAGACAUGUCGAGCAGGGACGAAAGUCGGGAUUAGUGAUCUUAUGGUGGCACGUGGAAGCGCCAUAACUCAACGGAUAAAAGGUACCCCGGGGAUAACAGGCUGAUCUUGCCCGAGCGCUCACAGCGACGGCAUGGUUUGGCACCUCGAUGUCGGCUCGUCGCAUCCUGGGGCUGGAGUCGGUCCCAAGGGUUGGGCUGUUCGCCCAUUAAAGCGGCACGCGAGCUGGGUUCAGAACGUCGUGAGACAGUUCGGUCCCUAUCCGCUGCGCGCGUAGGAAUCUUGAGAAGGGCUGUCCUUAGUACGAGAGGACCGGGACGGACUAACCUCUGGUGUGCCAGUUGUUCUGCCAAGAGCACGGCUGGUUGGCUACGUUGGGAAGUGAUAACCGCUGAAAGCAUCUAAGUGGGAAGCACGCUUCAAGAUGAGGGUUCCCUCAGAGUUAAUCUGGUAAGGCCCCCGGUAGACCACCGGGUUGAUAGGUCGGACGUGGAAGUGCGGCAACGCAUGGAGCUGACCGAUACUAAUAGGCCGAGGGCUUGUUUC